This 1343-nucleotide ribosomal RNA is filed under the name uncultured Cyanobium sp. Its description in RNAcentral is "bacterial SSU rRNA". It matches the Rfam family "Bacterial small subunit ribosomal RNA", at positions 139 to 1515 of the family's 1533-position model. The record is from RNAcentral. Lineage: Bacteria; Bacillati; Cyanobacteriota; Cyanophyceae; Synechococcales; Prochlorococcaceae.
GGGGAUAACGACUGGAAACGGUCGCUAAUACCCCAUAUGCCGAGAGGUGAAAUGAAUUUCGCCUGAGGAUGAGCUCGCGUCUGAUUAGCUAGUUGGUGGGGUAAAGGCCUACCAAGGCGACGAUCAGUAGCUGGUCUGAGAGGAUGAUCAGCCACACUGGGACUGAGACACGGCCCAGACUCCUACGGGAGGCAGCAGUGGGGAAUUUUCCGCAAUGGGCGAAAGCCUGACGGAGCAACGCCGCGUGAGGGAUGAAGGCCUCUGGGCUGUAAACCUCUUUUCUCAAGGAAGAAGAUCUGACGGUACUUGAGGAAUAAGCCACGGCUAAUUCCGUGCCAGCAGCCGCGGUAAUACGGGAGUGGCAAGCGUUAUCCGGAAUUAUUGGGCGUAAAGCGUCCGCAGGCGGCCUUGUAAGUCUGUCGUUAAAGCGUGGAGCUUAACUCCAUUUCAGCGGUGGAAACUACAAGGCUUGAGUGUGGUAGGGGCAGAGGGAAUUCCCGGUGUAGCGGUGAAAUGCGUAGAUAUCGGGAAGAACACCAGUGGCGAAGGCGCUCUGCUGGGCCAUAACUGACGCUCAUGGACGAAAGCCAGGGGAGCGAAAGGGAUUAGAUACCCCUGUAGUCCUGGCCGUAAACGAUGAACACUAGGCGUCGGGGGAAUCGACCCCCCCGGUGUCGUAGCCAACGCGUUAAGUGUUCCGCCUGGGGAGUACGCACGCAAGUGUGAAACUCAAAGGAAUUGACGGGGGCCCGCACAAGCGGUGGAGUAUGUGGUUUAAUUCGAUGCAACGCGAAGAACCUUACCAGGGUUUGACAUCCUGCGAAUCUCUAAGAAAUUGGAGAGUGCCCUCGGGAACGCAGUGACAGGUGGUGCAUGGCUGUCGUCAGCUCGUGUCGUGAGAUGUUGGGUUAAGUCCCGCAACGAGCGCAACCCACGUCUUUAGUUGCCAGCAUUCAGUUGGGCACUCUAGAGAGACCGCCGGUGAUAAACCGGAGGAAGGUGUGGAUGACGUCAAGUCAUCAUGCCCCUUACAUCCUGGGCUACACACGUACUACAAUGCUACGGACAAAGGGCAGCAAGCUCGCGAGAGUUAGCAAAUCCCAUAAACCGUGGCUCAGUUCAGAUCGUAGGCUGCAACUCGCCUACGUGAAGGAGGAAUCGCUAGUAAUCGCAGGUCAGCAUACUGCGGUGAAUACGUUCCCGGGCCUUGUACACACCGCCCGUCACACCAUGGAAGUUAGCCACGCCCGAAGUCGUUACUCCAACCCUUGUGGAGGAGGACGCCGAAGGUGGGGCUGAUGACUGGGGUGAAGUCGUAACAAGGUAGCCGUACCGGAAGGUGC